AACGAACGCUGGCGGCGCGCUUAACACAUGCAAGUCGAACGAGAAGGCGUAGCAAUACGCUUGUACAGUGGCGAACGGGUGAGUAAUACGUGGGCGACCUACCCUCGAGUGGGGAAUAACCCGCCGAAAGGCGGGCUAAUGCCGCGUACGCUUCCAUCUUUUAUGGAGGUGGAAGGAAAGCCGUGCCGUGGGCACGGCGCUCAAGGAUGGGCUCACGUCCUAUCAGCUUGUUGGUAGGAACGGCCUACAAGGCUCCGACGGUANCUGGUCUGAGAGGACGAUCAGCCACACUGGCACUGCG
This 301-nucleotide ribosomal RNA is filed under the name uncultured bacterium. RNAcentral describes it as "bacterial SSU rRNA". It matches the Rfam family "Bacterial small subunit ribosomal RNA", at positions 29 to 323 of the family's 1533-position model. The record is from RNAcentral.